This 492-nucleotide ribosomal RNA is filed under the name uncultured bacterium. RNAcentral describes it as "partial 16S ribosomal RNA". It matches the Rfam family "Bacterial small subunit ribosomal RNA", at positions 29 to 507 of the family's 1533-position model. The record is from RNAcentral.
AGUGAACGCUGGCGGUAGGCCUAACACAUGCAAGUCGAACGGCAGCACAGUAAGAGCUUGCUCUUACGGGUGGCGAGUGGCGGACGGGUGAGGAAUACAUCGGAAUCUACUCUUUCGUGGGGGAUAACGUAGGGAAACUUACGCUAAUACCGCAUACGACCUACGGGUGAAAGCAGGGGAUCUUCGGACCUUGCGCGAUUGAAUGAGCCGAUGUCGGAUUAGCUAGUUGGCGGGGUAAAGGCCCAUCAAGGCGACGAUCCGUAGCUGGUCUGAGAGGAUGAUCAGCCACACUGGAACUGAGACACGGUCCAGACUCCUACGGGAGGCAGCAGUGGGGAAUAUUGGACAAUGGGCGCAAGCCUGAUCCAGCCAUACCGCGUGGGUGAAGAAGGCCUUCGGGUUGUAAAGCCCUUUUGUUGGGAAAGAAAAGCAGCAGGUUAAUACCCCGCUGUUCUGACGGUACCCAAAGAAUAAGCACCGGCUAACUUCGUG